Long non-coding RNA from Anser brachyrhynchus (Pink-footed goose), 2362 nucleotides. The record is from Ensembl. Lineage: Eukaryota; Metazoa; Chordata; Aves; Anseriformes; Anatidae.
GGGCUCUGGGUGGCGUGCUACAGCAUGCCAUGUUGUUACUGACUGAAGCUGUGUCCAUUGUGGUCAUCUUAUCUGUCUGUCCAGUCAAGGCAAAUGUUGUGUAUCAUCUGUUAAGGCCUGGAGGAAUAAGGGUCAGGAACGCCGACUUAAAUCAGGCUUGCUGUGUCAUAACAGCUCGAGGACAGGGGGAUGCUUAACCACUACUCUCACACAUUGUCCUGCCUGCAGGACAAAAAAAAACAAGAUCACCUCAUGCCACAGCUGCUUCUCGCUUCCCAGUUCCAUGAGCUCUGUGAGCUCUGUGGGCUCUGGGGAAAGGUGAAAGCCUCAAACUCCCCAAAAGGAAAGCUAACUUCAUAACCUUUCCUUUUCUGAUCUCAGGAUCAGAAUAUCUCUGUUCCUCCAGGAAAGUUUCUCUGUGACUUACCGUGUUCAAGCUCUGACUUCACGUGGUGCAAUUAUGGUAUUAAAAAGAGGGAUCUUCUGUCAGAUACUGCCAUUUAGGUUAAACCCAAUCACUUCAAUGGAGUCGAUGAGGCUGCGGUUUUAUCAGUGCAGCAACUGCAAGAUGUGGCCCUCCGUGCAGAUUGUUUACAGUCGUUAUCUCUGGUUUGUCUCUAGUUUCAGCUGCUUAUGCUCACUGUGUGAAUUUAUUAGUCACUUGUAAUUUCUUCAUUGAUUUUUGUUAAACUGUUUCCUGGCUCAUGAUCUUGGCAACCUAUUUCUGUUGUUUAAACAAGCUUGCUUGUCAAGCAGGUUUUCCCAAUGUCACAGUUCUAGUAUUAACUCUCUUUAUUGAGUAAUGCUGCUUCUUAUCCAGGAUGAGAUCAGACUUCAUAACAAGUGGAUCAAAGCCAUGAAGUUUAGAUCCAAAAUCAGAGCUGAAUCCAAGCUCUCCUGAAAUCCGAGGAUGCUUGAAUGGAGUUCUGGUUUGACUCUGCCAUGGGGAAAGGUUCAAGCAGUGAAGUUCAGAGCUGGAUUCAUAUUCUCAUUAUUGAAGCAGUUUUAAUCCAGGGUUUUGAUGUUGGGUCCAUCUUUGAUAACUAAUGGCCAAACAUGAUGAGCUCCUAAACUGCCCAACAAAGAGGGUUAACACCUGUUGAGAUGUGGCACAAGAUUUCCCCAGAAAUGCUCUUUUGUAUUUAAAGAACGUAACUAGUGCUGGCAGCUGGAGAAACCUGGUCAGUUAAUAGAUGGAAACCUAAGAAGUAGCAAAGGGUCAAAUUUUUUAUCAGAGCACUUUGAUUCAUAUUAAAUGCUACACAUUUCUGAACACUCUACUCAAAUUUCCACUCAAAUACCAAAGGGCUGUUAUAGCUGUAUCCAUAACAAAGGCAGAAUGACUGAAACCUCAUGUGAGAAAUGCUGUUCUUAAGAUUUCCAGUUGAGUUUUGCAAAUGAAGUAAUGCUGAUUUGUUCAGAUAUGGCCCAACUGUUCAUUUUAAUUUUGUGGGGUGUACACCCAGACAUCUGAACCGUGGUAAAGGUUUGACCCGUCACCCCACCGACACCUAGACCAAGACAUUAUGGUGUGCAGUGAUGCAGAUCAUAUUGCAUUUCCCAGAAGCUUUUAACUCUACAGUGAGAUGAAGACACAUCUUGAUGCAUGAGUUUCAAAUCCAAAACCUAAUAUAUAUCAUCUCUAUCGCAGUAUUUCAAAAGAAACUCCUCAGAAUGAAAUUUAGUAUAUUGCACCUUAUAUUUUAGUCACAGGUGAGGAAUUGUACAAUUAUGAGUCAUUAGUUUAUUUGUUUUUCUUUUUAAUAACAGGAAUGACUGUUUUUCUGUGUAAGCACACUUUUGCACUGACAAAUAUUUAAUAAGUUUCAGCCAAAAAGAAACACAGAUGUAAUAACUGUGUAACUAGGAUCAUUCUGGAAAGAGCCGUGAGUUGUGUAAUUGUGGCUUGGUAGCUUAUAUAAUCUAGGAAGACUGAUAUAAACUUUUGAAACUGUGAAGUCUGUGUCAUGCCAGAGCUUAAACGAACUCUCUGUUCCUGUUCACUGAGCUCAAUUGACAGUGAAAAAAGGAAGCCUCAGAAGGCUCUUCAUGAAGUAUUUUUUAAAUAUGUGUCUAAUAUGAAGAUUUUUGAAUUAUAAUCUUGUUGCAAGCUAGUCACCUCCCUUUUUCCAUCUUCAAAUUACUUUAAAAAGAACUGUACACGUCAUUCCUUCCCUAGUACAGAAUUGCUAUAGGGUCUUACGAUCUUGUGUGGGCCCAGAUUAUGGAAACCUCAUGAAGACAUCACCUCCUCUUUGUAAUUGCUCCUUAUUAUGAAGAAUUUCAUACCGAAAAACUUUGGCAACGCUAUCAUAAAGUACAAGGAUUUUUUGAUAAAUAAAUGCGGAUUUCUGAUGAUGCA